RNAcentral lists this ribosomal RNA (497 nucleotides) under uncultured bacterium. RNAcentral's name for it is "partial 16S ribosomal RNA". It matches the Rfam family "Bacterial small subunit ribosomal RNA", at positions 28 to 507 of the family's 1533-position model. The record is from RNAcentral.
GAUGAACGCUGGCGGCGUGCCUAAUACAUGCAAGUCGAGCGAACAGACGAGGAGCUUGCUCCUCUGACGUUAGCGGCGGACGGGUGAGUAACACGUGGAUAACCUACCUAUAAGACUGGGAUAACUUCGGGAAACCGGAGCUAAUACCGGAUAAUAUAUUGAACCGCAUGGUUCAAUAGUGAAAGACGGUUUUGCUGUCACUUAUAGAUGGAUCCGCGCCGCAUUAGCUAGUUGGUAAGGUAACGGCUUACCAAGGCAACGAUGCGUAGCCGACCUGAGAGGGGGAUCGGCAACACUGGAACGGAGCCCGGGUCAAGACACCUACGGGAGGCACAAGUAGGGAAUCUUCCGCAAUGGGCGAAAACCUGACGGAGCAACGCGGCGGGAGGAAAAAAGGUCUUGGGAUCGUAAAACUUUUUUAUGGGAGAAGAACAAAUGUUAACGAAAAUAUGCACGUCUUGACGGUACCUAAUAAAAAAGCCAGGGCUAACUACGUG